Molecule: ribosomal RNA, 515 nt
Filed under: uncultured bacterium
Lineage: Bacteria
Description: partial 16S ribosomal RNA
Rfam family: Bacterial small subunit ribosomal RNA
Source: RNAcentral
GAUGAACGCUGGCGGCGUGCCUAAUACGUGCAAGUCGAGCGAAUGGAUUAAGAGCUUGCUCUUAUGAAGUUAGCGGCGGACGGGUGAGUAACACGUGGGUAACCUGCCCAUAAGACUGGGAUAACUCCGGGAAACCGGGGCUAAUACCGGAUAACAUUUUGAACCGCAUGGUUCGAAAUUGAAAGGCGGCUUCGGCUGUCACUUAUGGAUGGACCCGCGUCGCAUUAGCUAGUUGGUGAGGUAACGGCUCACCAAGGCAACGAUGCGUAGCCGACCUGAGAGGGUGAGCGGCCACACUGGGACUGAGACACGGCCCAGACUCCUACGGGAGGCAGCAGUAGGGAAUCUUCCGCAAUGGACGAAAGUCUGACGGAGCAACGCCGCGUGAGUGAUGAAGGCUUUCGGGUCGUAAAACUCUGUUGUUAGGGAAGAACAAGUGCUAGUUGAAUAAGCUGGCACCUUGACGGUACCUAACCAGAAAGCCACGGCUAACUACGUGCCAGCCACCGCAGUAA